GUCCCUGUCGAUUAGUGGUUAAAUCAUCACGUUGUGGUAGAGGCAUGGUCUCCUCCGGCCUCCAGCUCCGUGAAGCCGCCGGCUCGACUCCGGCCAGGGACA
Molecule: non-coding RNA, 102 nt
Organism: Gloeopeniophorella convolvens
Lineage: Eukaryota; Fungi; Basidiomycota; Agaricomycetes; Russulales
Source: the annotation of a GenBank genome assembly